RNAcentral lists this ribosomal RNA (403 nucleotides) under uncultured bacterium. Its description in RNAcentral is "partial 16S ribosomal RNA". It matches the Rfam family "Bacterial small subunit ribosomal RNA", at positions 30 to 526 of the family's 1533-position model. The record is from RNAcentral.
AUUGAACGCUGGCGGCAGGCCUAACACAUGCAAGUCGAGCGAGCGGCGGACGGGUGAGUAAUGUAUGGGGACUGCCCGAUAGAGGGGGAUAACUACUGGAAACGGUAGCUAAUACCGCAUACUAUCGGAUAACCCAUAUGGGAUUAGCUCGUAGGUGAGGUAAUGGCUCACCUAGUCGACGAUCCCUAGCUGGUCUGAGAGGAUGAUCAGCCCACCUGGGACUGGGAAACGGCCCAAAAUCCUACGGGGGCAGCAGUGGGGAAUAUUGCACAAUGGGCGCAAGCCUGAUGCAGCCCUGCCGCGUGUAUGAAGAAGGCCCUAGGGUUGUAAAGUACUUUCAGUCGGGAGGCGUUACCGACAGAAGAAGCACCGGCUAACUCCGUGCCAGCAGCCGCGGUAAUUC